Non-coding RNA from Pelobates cultripes (western spadefoot toad), 312 nucleotides. The record is from the annotation of a GenBank genome assembly. NCBI's taxonomy places the organism in Eukaryota, Metazoa, Chordata, Amphibia, Anura, Pelobatidae.
CUGAUCCGUCGCAGACGUUCCGCAAGCCACUACAAGACUACAAGGUGUUCGGUCCGUCCUGCUCUGUGUCCGGUGGCUUGCCUCUGGGUUUACUUGGAUCGCACUCAACAGUUGAGGUCAUUGGACUUGACAUAGCUGUUUAUUUCCUUUAGGACGCUGUUCCUACCGGUCUCCUCGACUACGUUGGCUCGUUGGGUUAAGAAUGUCCUUUCCACUGCGGGGAUUGAUACAUCGAUAUUUUCAUCUCAUUCGGUCAGAGGAGCCAUGGCAUCCAAAGCCUCUAAGAUGGGUUGUCGCUUGGAUGAUAUUUUG